CAGCACCCCGAGUGGUCGGGACGAUUAUUGGGCCUAAAGCAUCCGUAGCCGGUUCUACAAGUCUUCCGUUAAAUCCACCUGCUUAACAGUUGGGCUGCGGAGGAUACUAUAGAGCUAGGAGGCGGGAGAGGCAAGCGGUACUUAGUGGGUAGGGGUAAAAUCCGUUGAUCCACUGAAGACCACCAGUGGCGAAGGCGGCUUGCCAGAACGCGCUCGACGGUGAGGGAUGAAAGCUGGGGGAGCAAACCGGAUUAGAUACCCGGGUAGUCCCAGCUGUAAACGAUGCAGACUCGGUGAUGAAUAAGCUUCAUGCUUAUUCAGUGCCGCAGGGAAGCCGUUAAGUCUGCCGCCUGGGGAGUACGGUCGCAAGACUGAA
This 376-nucleotide ribosomal RNA is filed under the name uncultured bacterium. RNAcentral describes it as "bacterial SSU rRNA". It matches the Rfam family "Archaeal small subunit ribosomal RNA", at positions 477 to 853 of the family's 1478-position model. The record is from RNAcentral.